Molecule: ribosomal RNA, 465 nt
Filed under: uncultured bacterium
Lineage: Bacteria
Description: bacterial SSU rRNA
Rfam family: Bacterial small subunit ribosomal RNA
Source: RNAcentral
CCUACGGGGUGCACCAGUGGGGAAUAUUGCGCAAUGGGCGCAAGCCUGAUGCAGCCAUGCCGCGUGUAUGAAGAAGGCCUUCGGGUUGUAAAGUACUUUCAGCGAGGAGGAAGGCAUUAAGGUUAAUAACCUUGGUGAUUGACGUUACUCGCAGAAGAAGCACCGGCUAACUCCGUGCCAGCAGCCGCGGUAAUACGGAGGGUGCAAGCGUUAAUCGGAAUUACUGGGCGUAAAGCGCACGCAGGCGGUUUGUUAAGUCAGAUGUGAAAUCCCCGGGCUCAACCUGGGAACUGCAUUUGAAACUGGCAAGCUAGAGUCUCGUAGAGGGGGGUAGAAUUCCAGGGGUAGCGGUGAAAUGCGUAGAGAUCUGGAGGAAUACCGGUGGCGAAGGCGGCCCCCUGGACGAAGACUGACGCUCAGGUGCGAAAGCGUGGGGAGCAAACAGGAUUAGAUACCCCAGUAGUC